CACUGGCCCCAUCCAGCCCUCAGACACGUCACACUGGCAUUUCAACUCUGCCAACUUUCAAGCCUCAGGCCCACCAUGCUGGGCCUACACUGGGCUUCUGGUCCCAGAGGCUGCCGCCUGAGGCAGGGCCUGUGUUCUCCUGGUCCCUACAUGAGGACCAGGCCAGCUAACGGUCCCUUCAACAGCCCCCUCUUCCCUGAGCACCGCAACCACCCAUCAGGACUAACACGGGCUUGGCAUCUGCACUGACGGAGCAUGUCCAAGCACACCUCCUUUGUCAUUCCUGCAGUCCAUAAGGGCAGGAAUUCCCAGUUUCCAAGAAGGAGACUGAACCAGGGACCAGCAGAGCCAAGGAUCCAUCCACAUCAGUCUCAACUCCAAAGCCUGCAUUUUUCCCCACUAUGGCCUGCUCCCACAGACCCGCUGCCAGAUCCCCCUCCUCCAAUGCUGACCAAGAUCCGGGGGGGAUCGUGUGUGCCUUACCGUCUUAGAGGGGAUAUAGACGUAGGGCAAGUUCCGGUCUUCACACAUAACUGGGAGAUGGCAGUAGACCUCAAUGGGCAACGUGUCUCCUGCCAAAACCAUGAUCCUGCGGUGAGAGAAACACCGUCAUUUCUAACUUGCCCAUUCCUUCUUUCAGUCAAUAGUGCUACCCUACCUCUGGACAGAGAAAAUGGCCUCGGCCCUCAAGGACCCCAGAUGUGAAUCUCCCACCUUCUGAAAGCUCCUCUGUUGGCACCCCUUCCUUCGAGUGGCCUUUCAGUGCUGGUUCCUCACAGCCUAAUCCUUGGCUGCCCUCUCAGUACCUUCUCCCUGGCUGACCUGGGCCACGGCCACGGCAUCAGGUGCCAUGUAUCUCAGGACUUUCUAUGAGGGAAUGAAGCUGGGCUCGACCCUGCGUGAGCCCCGGAACUCACUUUCCCGGUGGUGUUCCUCUGAGCUCUUGUGAGUGACGUGUACCAGAGGGAACUCACCGGCGGCUCCAUUACCUCGUGUAUAGGGGGCGGAUCACAUUUACCGACUUUCGCCGAGCACCUUCCAAGCAGUGGGGAUACCCGUGCUACCGUCCAGAAACGCAACACCCGGCGGCAGGGGGGCCUUACCCUUUCUCGCCUUUGUUGAUAAACUUCUGAACCUCCUUCACCCCGCGCCGAAUCUGCUUCUGCUUCACGGCUGCAACGACAGAAGAGUCAAUCGGGGGGCGUCAGCCCGCCCCCCGCGCCACCACCGGCCACCGCGGCGGCCGCAAGCACCUUUCUUGAUGCACUUGUAGAGCUUCCGCGUGAGACGGCGAGAAGCCAGGGGCUGCGCGAUGGGGUUCAGAUUCACCAGCAGCUCGUGGUAAGUGCGCUCCCCGAGGCACGCCUCCGCCUGAGCCUCCGGCCCGUCCGGAUCUGUCUUUAUUUUGGUCAUCGCAGCGGCCGCGGCAAACGGAUACCCCGCGCCGGGCGAAUACACGCGGCCCGGGCCUCAGGAAUCACUUCCGGGUUAUCCCGUACUGCGGGAAGCCGGCCGUACAGCACAGCCAAUUAGGGGACGAAGUCUCUGACUCAAACCAAUCGCUGACGCUCAGCUCUAACUGCAGACCGGGAGGGGCGGAGUCUCGGCUGAAGGGGCGGGACUC
Non-coding RNA from Leptonychotes weddellii (Weddell seal), 1624 nucleotides. Lineage: Eukaryota; Metazoa; Chordata; Mammalia; Carnivora; Phocidae. The record is from RefSeq and is a predicted model, not a curated record.